CCUACGGGUGGCUGCAGUGGGGAAUUUUGGACAAUGGGCGAAAGCCUGAUCCAGCAAUGCCGCGUGUGUGAAGAAGGCCUUCGGGUUGUAAAGCACUUUUGUCCGGAAAGAAAUCCGUCUGGCUAAUACCCGGACGGGAUGACGGUACCGGAAGAAUAAGCACCGGCGAACUACGUGCCAGCAGCCGCGGUAAUACGUAGGGUGCGAGCGUGAAUUGGAACGACUGGGCGCAGAGCGGUCGCAGGCGGCUGAAAUCCCCGGGCUCAACCUGGGAACUGCAUUUGUGACUGCAAGGCUAGAGUGCGUCAGAGGGAGGUGGAAUUCCGCGUGUAGCAGUGAAAUGCGUAGAGAUGCGGAGGAACACCGAUGGCGAAGGCAGCCUCCUGGGAUGACACUGACGCUCAUGCACGAAAGCGUGGGGAGCAAACAGGAUUAGAUACCCUAGUAGUC
This 450-nucleotide ribosomal RNA is filed under the name uncultured bacterium. RNAcentral describes it as "partial 16S ribosomal RNA". It matches the Rfam family "Bacterial small subunit ribosomal RNA", at positions 338 to 795 of the family's 1533-position model. The record is from RNAcentral.